GAAAAUGUUCCAUUUUAAUUCAUUAUUCCAGUAUUCCACUAAUAUCGUUUAACUGUUCACCUGGAAUCAAGAUUUCUGAACUUAGAAAAAGAUGUAUGGCAAUUAUUUGUCCUUCUUAGAAUGAUCUUCACAAUCGUUGAUGCCAAAGAGCCGAAAAAAACUGUUGAUCAGAUUAUUUAUGUUUUUUUGUUAAUCACAUCGAUGAUUUUGUCAAUGGGCAUAUUCGAGUUUGAAACCAAUGCUUUCCAAAGGAAUGAGGAACUAUAUGUUAAUUAAACUAUAUGUAAUUGUAUUUGUUAUUGAUAUUUAUCAGCGUCAUUCAACGUCGCCUUAGUGUCGUCAUUUCAACGUUGCCUAAUCCAAAUUUAUUGUCAAAUUUAUAAAGUACUCUCAUUUUUGUUUCCUCCUUGGGUCUUAAAAUUUAUGGGAAAUAUAUGUACAUGAGAAAGUAUAC
Leptopilina boulardi is the source of this 454-nucleotide long non-coding RNA. RefSeq lists it as uncharacterized. The transcript is spliced from 4 exons. The record is from RefSeq and is a predicted model, not a curated record. NCBI's taxonomy places the organism in Eukaryota, Metazoa, Arthropoda, Insecta, Hymenoptera, Figitidae.